UCCCUCUCAGGGUCACACCUGGAGAGUUUCCAGUACUCUACCAGUCACGACUAUAAGAGGGAUAGUCAAGGAGAGGCCGAACCAUUCCAUUCUCAGUUUGGUCUGUGGCUAGUGAGUGGAAAGCAAUCUUCUACAAGU
Small nucleolar RNA from Ornithorhynchus anatinus (platypus), 138 nucleotides. The record is from RefSeq and is a predicted model, not a curated record. Lineage: Eukaryota; Metazoa; Chordata; Mammalia; Monotremata; Ornithorhynchidae.